AAUACGACUCUCGGCAAUGGAUAUCUCGGCUCUCGCAUCGAUGAAGAGCGCAGCGAAAUGCGAUAUAUGGUGCGAAUUGCAGAAUCCCGUGAAC
Molecule: ribosomal RNA, 94 nt
Filed under: Sobralia bouchei
Lineage: Eukaryota; Viridiplantae; Streptophyta; Magnoliopsida; Asparagales; Orchidaceae
Description: 5.8S ribosomal RNA
Rfam family: 5.8S ribosomal RNA
About the family: 5.8S ribosomal RNA (5.8S rRNA) is a component of the large subunit of the eukaryotic ribosome. It is transcribed by RNA polymerase I as part of the 45S precursor that also contains 18S and 28S rRNA. Functionally, it is thought that 5.8S rRNA may be involved in ribosome translocation.
Source: RNAcentral